This 301-nucleotide ribosomal RNA is filed under the name uncultured bacterium. RNAcentral's name for it is "partial 16S ribosomal RNA". It matches the Rfam family "Bacterial small subunit ribosomal RNA", at positions 509 to 807 of the family's 1533-position model. The record is from RNAcentral.
CAGUAGCCGCGGUAAUACAGAGGGUGCGAGCGUUAAUCGGAUUUACUGGGCGUAAAGCGUGCGUAGGCGGCUUCUUAAGUCGGAUGUGAAAUCCCUGAGCUUAACUUAGGAAUUGCAUUCGAUACUGGCAAGCUAGAGUAUGGGAGAGGAUGGUAGAAUUCCAGGUGUAGCGGUGAAAUGCGUAGAGAUCUGGAGGAAUACCGAUGGCGAAGGCAGCCAUCUGGCCUAAUACUGACGCUGAGGUACGAAAGCAUGGGGAGCAAACAGGAUUAGAUACCCGCGUAGUCCCUGUCUCUUAUAC